GAUACGCCGGCUCCAACACCCCCCCUUCGGCGGUCCUCCCCAAGGGACCCACGGGCUGGGGGUGGUCGCUCAACCAGUGGCGGUCUUUCCGGUGGAACCUCACGGCCAGCGCCGCCCGGCCGAACCCCCAGGGCUCCUACCACUACGGCAGCAUCAACAUCACCCGCACCAUCAAGCUCUCCAGCUCCCGCGUCGUCGAUGGUGGCAAGAUCCGGUUCACGCUCAACGGUUUGUCGCACGUCGAC
RNAcentral lists this long non-coding RNA (245 nucleotides) under Musa acuminata (dwarf banana). Its description in RNAcentral is "long non-coding RNA (MACU_LNC006670)". The record is from RNAcentral. Lineage: Eukaryota; Viridiplantae; Streptophyta; Magnoliopsida; Zingiberales; Musaceae.